CUUUGGCAAUCUCUUCACAAAACAUUUAAUCAGGAAUAGACACUAAUUUUUCCAAAGAGAUGUACUUAGGUUUUGCUGGAUCAUACUGUUCUUUUCUGAAAUAGGUAAGAAACAAAUGUUUUUCUUUGACUCUAAACAACUUUGUGUUAAAUAACUGUGGGAACCUUACAAUGAUGUGGUGGGGAAUACUCAUCACGUUGUACACAUAGUGAAAAGUCUCAGUAAGUUUCUUUUUAUUUGCAGUUAACAUCUUUGGGAUUCUGGUGAUCACAUGUUGUAUUUCGCUAUGCUUAAAACCAAGUUGAAGAUGAUAAACCUUCAUAUUUUCUUUCAUGGGCUCUAGACUUCCAGUAUCAGCCUUGAGAGAUGAGCUACCAGAUCUCUAGUCUUCUUCAAAGAAAAUUGGCAUUAAAUGACUCCUCAAGGUCUUUGAAUGAUGAGUGAGAACCUGGACAACAGACAUGGCUGGGAAUACUCAAGAUGAUGCUAUGGUCAGUGGUUCCUUCUGCACACGGGACUGGAGCCAGGACCUGGGGACAGCAAAGGGGGCAAAGAGAAGCUGGGAAGCAGGUAUUGGUGACCAUGUGACGAGGCCUGACUAAUCAGAAUUGUUCAUCUCCUGGCCUCGGAGGGCGUGGGACGCAACCUACACCAAUCACAGUCCUUCCCUGAGACUGAUUUCUUGAUGCGAGGGUUAGCAGCACUUUUGGCUGGGGGUUGCUAAACUUAGACUACAGUGGUCUCCGAGACAACUGCCUUGCAAUCCAACAUCCCCCCCUGCCCCACCUUUCUUUCCUUUACUCACUCACAUGUAUUGUUCUUCAGAGCUUUCAUGAAUAAACUGCCUGGUCACCAGUCUCUGUCCCAGAGUUCUUUCCCAGGGAAUACAACCAGGGUGUGAUGGUGAUGGCCAGGACAGUGGUGGGGGUGGUGCCGAUGUCUGCCUUCACAGAGAUUUGUCCUUUGACUACACAGGACAAUUAAAAACAAAAACAAAGCAAAACAAAAAAGCAAAGAAAGAAAAAAAAAACCCUAAGUAUUCAGGAAGGCCUGAGUUCAUCUUUUCCAAGGACCACUCAAACC
This 1083-nucleotide long non-coding RNA is filed under the name Dasypus novemcinctus (nine-banded armadillo). Its description in RNAcentral is "lncRNA (ENSDNOG00000050333.1)". Lineage: Eukaryota; Metazoa; Chordata; Mammalia; Cingulata; Dasypodidae. The record is from RNAcentral.